UACGAAGGGGGCUAGCGUUGUUCGGAAUUACUGGGCGUAAAGCGCGCGCAGGCGGCCAUUCAAGUCAGGGGUGAAAGCCCGGAGCUCAACUCCGGAACUGCCUCUGAAACUGUUUGGCUUGAGUACGGGAGAGGUGAGUGGAAUUCCCAGUGUAGAGGUGAAAUUCGUAGAUAUUGGGAAGAACACCGGUGGCGAAGGCGGCUCACUGGCCCGUUUCUGACGCUCAGGCGCGACAGCGUGGGGAUCAAACAUG
Molecule: ribosomal RNA, 253 nt
Filed under: uncultured bacterium
Lineage: Bacteria
Description: partial 16S ribosomal RNA
Rfam family: Bacterial small subunit ribosomal RNA
Source: RNAcentral